Long non-coding RNA from Haliotis rubra (blacklip abalone), 101 nucleotides. RefSeq lists it as uncharacterized. The record is from RefSeq and is a predicted model, not a curated record. NCBI's taxonomy places the organism in Eukaryota, Metazoa, Mollusca, Gastropoda, Lepetellida, Haliotidae. The transcript is spliced from 3 exons.
AGAAUCACAUGCUCCCUGAGCGAGAACUGUAUGUAAACAACUGAAGAGAUAAAGACACGUGACAGCUGUGAUCGGAUGAAAUAGUGUUGUAGAAUGCAUGU